UGGGGAAUAUUGGACAAUGGGGGGAACCCUGAUCCAGCCAUGCCGCGUGUGUGAAGAAGGCCUUAUGGUUGUAAAGCACUUUAAGCGAGGAGGAGGGUACUGGUAUUAAUACUACCAGGUACUGGACGUUACUCGCAGAAUAAGCACCGGCUAACUCUGUGCCAGCAGCCGCGGUAAUACAGAGGGUGCGAGCGUUAAGCGGAUUUACUGGGCGUAAAGCGUGCGUAGGCGGCUAAUUGAGUCGGAUGUGAAAUCCCCGAGCUUAACUUGGGAAUUGCAUUCGAUACUGGUUAGCUAGAGUGUGGGAGAGGAUGGUAGAAUUCCAGGUGUAGCGGUGAAAUGCGUAGAGAUCUGGAGGAAUACCGAUGGCGAAGGCAGCCAUCUGGCCUAACACUGACGCUGAGGUACGAAAGCAUGGGGAGCAAACAGG
Molecule: ribosomal RNA, 430 nt
Filed under: Pseudomonadota bacterium
Lineage: Bacteria; Pseudomonadati; Pseudomonadota
Description: Proteobacteria bacterium partial 16S ribosomal RNA
Rfam family: Bacterial small subunit ribosomal RNA
Source: RNAcentral